GCCGAGCGGUAGAGAUCUUCGGAUCUUUGAGAGCGGCGCACGGGUGCGGAACACGUGUGCAACCUACCUUUAUCAGGGGGAUAGCCUUUCGAAAGGAAGAUUAAUACCCCAUAAUAUAUUGAAUGGCAUCAUUUAAUAUUGAAAACUCCGGUGGAUAGAGAUGGGCACGCGCAAGAUUAGAUAGUUGGUGAGGUAACGGCUCACCAAGUCAAUGAUCUUUAGGGGGCCUGAGAGGGUGAUCCCCCACACUGGUACUGAGACACGGACCAGACUCCUACGGGAGGCAGCAGUGAGGAAUAUUGGACAAUGGGUGAGAGCCUGAUCCAGCCAUCCCGCGUGAAGGACGACGGCCCUAUGGGUUGUAAACUUCUUUUGUAUAGGGAUAAACCUUUCCACGUGUGGAAAGCUGAAGGUACUAUACGAAUAAGCACCGGCUAACUCCGUGCCAGCAGCCGCGGUAAUACGGAGGGUGCAAGCGUUAUCCGGAUUUAUUGGGUUUAAAGGGUCCGUAGGCGGACUCGUAAGUCAGUGGUGAAAUCUCAUAGCUUAACUAUGAAACUGCCAUUGAUACUGCGGGUCUUGAGUAAGGUAGAGGUAGCUGGAAUAAGUAGUGUAGCGGUGAAAUGCAUAGAUAUUACUUAGAACACCAAUUGCNGAGGCAGGUUACCAUGUCUUAACUGACGCUGAUGG
Molecule: ribosomal RNA, 690 nt
Filed under: Chryseobacterium sp. S110.08.P.BKT.AS.Gill.D.M
Lineage: Bacteria; Pseudomonadati; Bacteroidota; Flavobacteriia; Flavobacteriales; Weeksellaceae
Description: bacterial SSU rRNA
Rfam family: Bacterial small subunit ribosomal RNA
Source: RNAcentral